CUUCUCUAUGUUUCUUUGUGUUCACCCUUCAGACGCAAAUCAGAAGGGGAAAGGAACAGAAGUGGUGUAGCUGGCAGGUGGUGCGGGAUGCCCACUCCUGCAUCUAAUAGCACACCCAGCUGAUGCCUUUUCUUUCGGAAGUGGGAGGCAGCCAGAAGAGUUUUCUCUCUUGCAGCGAUACUGUUUGCUCAAGGAGCUGUAGUAAAUGCUUGGCUUGUUUCUGAAAGGGCAGCACCCAGCCAUUUGGUGCUGGUUAGAUGUGCUUCUUGGUCUAUGGAAGCAGGGAUUUCCAUACGCUAAAAAAAAAUUGAGCAGAGCUUUAGACUGCAGCAGCCGUUCACCGAGGUUCUCUUUUUAGCUCUUAGAACUCCUGUGGUCAACCCAGUGUGUUAAUGCAGCCAAGCCAGGUCCCUAACGCCUGAACUUUCCACAGCUGGGAAGGAAGGAAAGUUAAAAAAAAAAGUGACCCAAACCAGACAAACAGACAAGAAAUGUGUGGAUUUCCUUGUAAGAGGGAAAAAAAGAGAUGACAGAGUUUGAUCUGCUAUGUAAAUCUGUGAGGAAGGCUUGAUCUUAACCAGUUCAUCUCAGCUAAUACUUACAAUUUUUUCAGUAGCGUUUCUGAACCCGGAUCACUGUUUGCAAGGCAUCCACCUUCGUGGAUCUGUUUCUCUUGCGGUCCCUCACCAUUUGCUGCACAGUAGCCGGUGAUACACCGCCCUUGCCCUCUGCGUGACGUGACUUAAAGCCAACAUUUCUUAAAAGCACUCGGCUCCUGCUGUGGAAUGAUGCAGCUUUUGCCCUCUGUACAACAAACCCAGCCACACAAGUAGUCGUGAUCUCAUGCCGGAAAACUUCUGAAGGACAGCGGCCUUGUGCAGAGCAGCAAUCCCGAGCACCACAUCAGUGUCACGCCGCUCACUCAGUCUUCUCACCACUUCUCUGGUUUCAAGGUAUUUUUUUUUUUUGGUUCCCCAAACACUGUAAAAAUAUUUGGCGUGCUUAGGAUUGACAGUAAUCAUCCGUUGGAAGAGUGAGCAGUUCAGCUGAUCGGGGUGUUAAAGACAACACCGCAGACGUACACAUUCGCCGAGGGAGGAGCCAGCGGUCUCAGCAGCUCAUUUCUGAGUUAUUUUCAAGGUGGAUCUACUUCUUCUUCAGUUUCCUUCCGAACCUCUGGAGCUCAGGCUCCAGUGUAGCCCCGUGGGGAUUUUUGAGCCCCCGGUGCCAUUUUCUCCUCGAGCAGCGGUUUGAGCUCAGGGCACUGAGGCACAGAGGCGGGAGCCUUUGUUGUCGAUGUGGCUCCCUUACUCUGCAGCUACAGAAAGCUCCCGUCUCUCAUCUAUUUAAAAGAUCUAUUUUAGAGCAGUUUUAAAUAGAUGAGAACCAAGGAGGAAGGGGCCGCUGUGCUCUUUAACUCCGGCUUUUGCCUGGAAUCCUGUCAAUGCGAACCCCUCCUGCUCCCCGUGCCGGCUGUGCCAGUAGCGUUUAAGAGGCAGAUCUCCUGGGUUUGGAGGCAGGGUCAGUGUCCUUAAAGCUCUGGAAAGGAGCAGGGGAGGACCUGCGCAGGAAGACCUGAAUUCCAAGCUGCUGCAUUCACAAGCUGUCUGAUUCUCCGAGAGGUUUUUUGGGACAGAACUCAAACACAUCAGAUUCCGAGUACUCUAAAAGAUGGAAUCUUCACGGAAAUACACAACAACGACGACAAACAAACAAAAGAGUACGGUGCCCCCGAUGCCGCGGGGCUCUCUGCCGAGUGGUCUUCAGCCCCCGGCUCCGACCGCGCGGAGAGGAGCGCGCCUGGCCUCUCGCACGUCUCGGUGCUUUCCUUUGCGCUCCCACCUGCGCAGCGACGGAGCACCUCGGGGCCCCGACCCCGACGGGCCCUCACCCCGGG
This is a long non-coding RNA of Gallus gallus (chicken), 1897 nucleotides long. The record is from Ensembl. NCBI's taxonomy places the organism in Eukaryota, Metazoa, Chordata, Aves, Galliformes, Phasianidae.